UUUUGGAGAAUUAACCUGAACAAUAUUGACAAUCAUAUGUUAUUGUGGUGUCUUUGUAUGACAUUAUGCUUCAUUAUGGCUAUAUCAUUGACAAAAAUUGCAACAAGAUGUUGACCACAAUAUCCACCACCACUAUUCCAACCAACCAAGGUAAGAGCAUGUGCACAUGAUAUACUUAAUAUGUUUCUUCUCAUUAUCAUUAUCUUUGCUCUUUCUCCUUCACCAACCAUUUUUUUUUCUAUGUUACUUUCUCUUCUUCUUCAACCACCACAUUAAUAUCACUCACAUAACAUACAUGUAUAAUAUAUAGUCCACAUCACUCAAACAUAGUAUAAGGUGGCAGUUUCUUU
Molecule: long non-coding RNA, 350 nt
Filed under: Vigna radiata
Lineage: Eukaryota; Viridiplantae; Streptophyta; Magnoliopsida; Fabales; Fabaceae
Description: long non-coding RNA (VRAD_LNC005591)
Source: RNAcentral